This 84-nucleotide transfer RNA is filed under the name Nitrospirota bacterium. It matches the Rfam family "tRNA". Rfam says of the family: Transfer RNA (tRNA) molecules are approximately 80 nucleotides in length. Their secondary structure includes four short double-helical elements and three loops (D, anti-codon, and T loops). The record is from Rfam by way of RNAcentral. Lineage: Bacteria; Pseudomonadati; Nitrospirota.
GCCGAAGUGGCGGAACUGGCAGACGCGCUAGGUUCAGGGUCUAGUAGCUGAAAGGCUGUGCGGGUUCAAAUCCCGCCUUCGGCA